This is a long non-coding RNA of Zalophus californianus (California sea lion), 905 nucleotides long. RefSeq lists it as uncharacterized. The transcript has 3 exons. Lineage: Eukaryota; Metazoa; Chordata; Mammalia; Carnivora; Otariidae. The record is from RefSeq and is a predicted model, not a curated record.
CAACCCCAACUGGGGCAGAGAGCUCUGGGGCGCAGGGGCCACCCAGCAGUAAGAUUUAGGCAAAGUUGCCACAGGGGGAAAGUUUGGAAAGUGUUCUGGGUCCUAUGAGUACUCCAGCAUGGGAAAAAAGAUGGUGAGGAGGGACCUAGAUUAAGCUGGGGAAAAUCGUGAAAGGUUCUCAAUGGAAGAUGGAGGUGUCUAGACUUUAUGCAGUUAUGUUGAAUCACAACUGAAGAAGUGUUUAAGCCACUUAGGCUUCCAGGAACUACUGUUGGAGCACUUCCGAUGAAGGUGAAGCCGAGAAAGAAAUCACAAGUGGCUUAAGUGUUUACAAAGAACUGAUGGUGGCCAAAGGACACUGCUGAAGACUGGGAAGAGGAAGUCCCCACUGAUGUCAAUGGUGCAGCAGCCGGAAGGGACUCACAGUGGCCUUGAGUAGAGAUGUCUGUGUGGUUUAAGGGGAUGGGCCCAUCAGAAGUAGGAGAGAGUACUUGAUAAUCUACUCUCUAGUCCAUAAUCUCAGGCUUGGAAAACUGCCAUGGGACUUGGCUUUUGUCAACCAUUGAGUUGCCCUGGGAGACCCCCAAAAUUGAACUAACUCUAUGAAAACGAGCCCUGUGAACUUUAGCAUUCAUCUCAGUGGGGAGCAGUGCCUACACACCCGACCCAAUGCUGCAAAGAGAUUAUACUAUUGCUCAGCAUUUCCAAAAGGCUAUUCCGGGGACUAUUAUUCCGACAAUAUUAAGGGAAGGGUACUGUGGAAAAAAGUCAUCUAUGUUCAAGCAAGUCUAGAAAAUACGUAAAUAGAGUGAAGAUGUUUAUUUUCUACAGGUUUUUUCAACUGCUAUCCUGAAUUGUGCAUCUCUAAGAGGGAGACUGUGUAUAUUUUAAAAGUCAGGUGCACG